UUAUAUACCCGAAAGAAUUUCGGGCAUAUUAUGUUAUACCCCCUGGCGUCCGUCUGUCCGUCCGUCCGUACGUCCGUCCGUCCGUCUGUUAGCAAUUUGGUUUCCGGAGCAUAACUUAAGUUCCAUUUGGCCCACAGUAUUCAAACUUCAUAGGAUGAUUGCCCAUAUUGGGUAGAAGACCCCUAUUGAUUUUGGGGUCACAAGGUCAAAGGUCAAGGUCACUAUUAGCUAAAUACUGAAAAUGGUUUCCGGAGCAUAACUUAAGUUCCAUUUGACCCACAGUAUUCAAACUUCAUAGGAUGAUUGUCCAUAUUAAGUAGAAGACCCCUAUUGAUUUUGGGGUCACAAGGUCAAGGUCACUAUUAGCGAAAUACUGAAAAUGGUUUCCGGAGCAUAACUUAAGUUCCAUUUGGCCCACAGUAUUCAAACUUCAUAGGAUGAUUGUCCAUAUUGGGUAAAAAACCCCUAUUGAUUUUGGGGUCACAAGGUUAAAGGUCAAGGUCACUAGUAGCUAAAUACGUAAAAUGGUUUCCGAAGCAUAACUCAAGUUCCAUUUGACCCACAGUUUUCAAACUUCAUAGGAUGAUUGUCCAUAUUUGGUAGAAGACCCCUAUUGAUUUUGGGGUCACAAGGCCAAAGGUCAAGGUCACUAUUAGCUUUAUACUGAAAAUGGUUUCCGGAGCAUAACCUAAGUUCCAUUUGGCCCACAGUAUUCAAACUUCAUAGGAUGAUUGUUCAUAUUGGGUAGAAGACCGCUAUUGAUUUUGGGGUCACAAGGUCAAAGAUCAAUGGAUGACUAUCACCUUUAAACUGGAAACAGUUUUCACUCAAUAACUCAAGUAUUAAACGAACUACAGCUGUUAAAUUUUAUAGGAUUAACAGCUUUAUACCCCUGACGUCUUGGUGUCCAUCCGUUUUAGCAUUUUUACUUACAAGAUAACAACUUGAUGGUGGUGCUUUGAAAACAGCAACUGCAUAUAUACAUGAAUGUUCUUCAGCUAUAAAGGAGGAUUGCUUUUUGAAGGAAGUAAUACUGUAUUUAAUUCCAAUGU
Ruditapes philippinarum (Manila clam) is the source of this 1052-nucleotide long non-coding RNA. RefSeq lists it as uncharacterized. The record is from RefSeq and is a predicted model, not a curated record. The transcript has 2 exons. NCBI's taxonomy places the organism in Eukaryota, Metazoa, Mollusca, Bivalvia, Venerida, Veneridae.